Papilio xuthus (Asian swallowtail) is the source of this 191-nucleotide long non-coding RNA. RefSeq lists it as uncharacterized. The record is from RefSeq and is a predicted model, not a curated record. The transcript has 3 exons. NCBI's taxonomy places the organism in Eukaryota, Metazoa, Arthropoda, Insecta, Lepidoptera, Papilionidae.
UUACAGCUAUAGGAAAGUGCGCGAAAGUGAUCGAAUCAUUACAAGAGUAUCGAGACGAGCAAAUUGAUUACAUGAAGAAGUUGCAAGUCAGCAACACCGGCGACUUUACCAGCAUCAACUUGAACAGAUUACAGGGCGCCCUGACAGAUAGUGUGCUGCCAGGCCGUAUAACUCUUCGUUACUACAUCAAU